Molecule: ribosomal RNA, 253 nt
Filed under: uncultured bacterium
Lineage: Bacteria
Description: partial 16S ribosomal RNA
Rfam family: Bacterial small subunit ribosomal RNA
Source: RNAcentral
UACGUAGGUGGCGAGCGUUGUCCGGAUUUACUGGGCGUAAAGGGAGCGUAGGCGGACUUUUAAGUGAGAUGUGAAAUACUCGGGCUCAACUUGAGUGCUGCAUUUCAAACUGGAAGUCUAGAGUGCAGGAGAGGAGAAUGGAAUUCCUAGUGUAGCGGUGAAAUGCGUAGAGUUUAGGAAGAACACCAGUGGCGAAGGCGAUUCUCUGGACUGUAACUGACGCUGAGGCUCGAAAGCGUGGGGAGCAAACAGG